AGAAUCAACGCUGGCGGCGUGCUUAACACAUGCAAGUCGAGCGGAAAGGCCCUUCGGGUACUCGAGCGGCGAACGGGUGAGUAACACGUGAGCAACCUGCCCCUAGCUCCGGGAUAGCUCCGGGAAACCGGAAUUAAUACCGGAUACGACCACGGCCGACAUCUGCUGUGGUGGAAAGGAUUCCGGCUAAGGAUGGGCUCGCGGCCUAUCAGCUAGUUGGUGGAGUAACGGCCCACCAAGGCGACGACGGGUA
This 253-nucleotide ribosomal RNA is filed under the name uncultured bacterium. Its description in RNAcentral is "partial small subunit ribosomal RNA". It matches the Rfam family "Bacterial small subunit ribosomal RNA", at positions 26 to 285 of the family's 1533-position model. The record is from RNAcentral.